GAUGAACGCUGGCGGCGUGCCUAAUACAUGCAAGUCGAGCGAACGGACGAGAAGCUUGCUUCUCUGAUGUUAGCGGCGGACGGGUGAGUAACACGUGGAUAACCUACCUAUAAGACUGGGAUAACUUCGGGAAACCGGAGCUAAUACCGGAUAAUAUUUUGAACCGCAUGGUUCAAAAGUGAAAGACGGUCUUGCUGUCACUUAUAGAUGGAUCCGCGCUGCAUUAGCUAGUUGGUAAGGUAACGGCUUACCAAGGCAACGAUGCAUAGCCGACCUGAGAGGGGGAUCGGCCACACUGGAACUGAGACACGGUCAAGACUCCUACGGGAGGCAGCAGUAGGGAAUCUUACGCAAUGGGCGAAAGCCUGACGGAGCAACGACACGUGAGUGAUGAAGGUCUUCGGAUCGUAAAACUCUGUUAUUAGGGAAGAACAUAUGUGUAAGUAACUGUGCACAUCUUGACGGUACCUAAUCAGAAAGCCACGGCUAACUACGUG
This 497-nucleotide ribosomal RNA is filed under the name uncultured bacterium. RNAcentral's name for it is "partial 16S ribosomal RNA". It matches the Rfam family "Bacterial small subunit ribosomal RNA", at positions 28 to 507 of the family's 1533-position model. The record is from RNAcentral.